Molecule: long non-coding RNA, 2946 nt
Organism: Cyprinus carpio carpio
Lineage: Eukaryota; Metazoa; Chordata; Actinopteri; Cypriniformes; Cyprinidae
Source: Ensembl
AAAAUCAUAUGAAUAUUUAAAGUUAAUAUGUAUCUCUUUUAUUUAGAUCGGAGGAAAAAGCCAUCUUUGAUGGCGUGUUCAUCGCAAAUGAUGAUGAUGUCGCAAGAUUCGUGGACUAUGUCCAUACCUCAACCAGUCAUGUAAACUUGCACAACUUCUCUAUAUUUACCUAUAAAAACACCACGUCCUACAGAGGACUUAGUUUGAACAAGUUUGGAAUGUUAAACAUCUUCCAUGUUUUAGGUCUCUGGAAGAGGUGUCUGUGGAGGGCAAUGGUCAGCGGCGCGUGAAACUUCUCAGAAGUCCUCAGGAAAAACAGACGAGGAGGGCCUGGAACUCGCUGUAUGUCGUCAUGGGGUUCUCCUUCGUGCCCUCACUAUGUUCAGGGGGAGAUUUUUUUGCCUACCCCCUGUACCUCCAAAAGCAAAUGGCCUGUAAGCCAGUUAAAUUUUUUGCAAUGGAUGUGGCAUGCAAGUACUGGCCUUACCUCCAGAGAGUGACAGAGAAAUGCCCUGAGCUUGAGGAUCUCCUCACCAUGAGGCCAUUUCUUUCUGUUUUUCAUGCCAAAGCUCAUGAUUUCAAAUGUGAGGUAAAAUGGAGUGGAGCAUAUCAGGAGGGGGCUGGUUCGACUCUUGGGGAAGAGGUGGAGCAGUGCAACGCCUUCCUCUCGAGGAUUGCUGUUACGACAAAGCACAUGUCAAAAGCAGGACGCAUAGACAUGCUGACGAUCAUGGCCAUGCGCUGGAACCAACAAAAAGUUUGACAACUUGGCUUCUACCCUUGCCCGCCGAUAUCGGAAGGCCACAAUAGCCCUGCAAUGCCAGUUGCAUAACCUGGAGGCCAUGAAAACGGAAAUGGACGUCUCAGACAAUCAACUGGAGAGGUGGAUCAUUGAUAUCAAUGAGUGGGCAGAAGGUAGGAUAUACUGUUUUAUACUGUUUGAUAUGGUGCUUGAUGUAUCACUUCUGACUUAUUUUGGCUGCAAUUCCAAAGAGGCUCAUUGUAAUCGUAGUCAAAGAGCACAUACUCUGAUUGCUGAUGACGUGUGGACAAGAUUAUCCCUAUGGGGACAAUAAAGAACCUAACUAUACUCAACCUUAGCUACAAGUGUAGCCUCUCAGUUACAGAUAAAUAUGAAAAGAUUGUUGAGGCUUUAUUUUUGCUCAUACACCAGAAAUAAUAUUUUUUUUCAUGGAAUCAAGAAGCAUAUUUCUUAUCUCUUAAUUUCUUCCUCUCAGCAACAACAUCCCCAAAUGAUGCUGAUGUUGCCGCUGUUGCCAGCCGAAUUGAGGAGCUGGUGGCAAGUGUUAAGAGGAGGUCCCAGCGUCUUUACAAGGAUAGUGACGGAUGCAAAGGACGUGCCCGAAUCCGCCGAAAGAUCAGGGAGGAAAAAAAAAUCUUAAAUUCUGUAGUGGAAAAGUACAACACCUUGGUUCCUAAUGCAGAAAAAAACUGUCAUUGGACACCAUUCUAUCUGACGAGAUUGUUUGGCCAUGGCAGCUUACACACGGUGGUAUGUACACAAUUCCAUUGUCACAUAGUGGGACAAAAAUCUGUCAUGCCUCGAUUUUACACCUGAAAAUCUCUAAAUACUAAUCUCAAAUACAACCGACUUAUGUUUCAUCUAUGUAUUCCAGACUCUGUUGAUCUAAGGACAAAGAGGAAGGCGUUCGACAUUGUGAUGGCAGUAAGGAGACUUGAGGAGGAGAAGAGGAUUCUUAUUGCAGAGAUGAACAAGCAUUGGAAGUCUCUUUGCUCCCGUGCAGACACCCUGAAGCAGAUGUCAUCCAAGCUUUCUAAUGUGACAUCAGGUAUGUAUUUGUUAUACUUGGCAUACAUUACAAUAUUUCUGAAUGUUUUUAAUUAAUAAAGGCUCAAUAUGUUUUAACAUGUAAGGUGAGACUUGGGGCCUGCUUCAAGAUGGUAUCCGAGGUCUACAAAGCUUGACGAUGAAGAACAAGCGAGCAAGCAACAGCCUGGCAAAGCAUGCAAAGAAAUAUUAUGUUCAAGUUCUGACUGAAACAGAAAUUAACUUUGAUAGUGAUUCUGAGGAAUACCAUACCAGUAGUGACUCUGAGCAAGAUUAAACAUGGCCAGAGUCCUUUUUAUGCUGUUGUGUGCUGGGGAGGCAGCAUUAAAGAAGAGGGCCGCUGGGACAGGUUGUUAAGGAAAGCUGGCUCUGUGUUUGGCAUGGAGCUGGAGUUAAUUAUUUAACAAACUGAGGAUAAUUUGCAGUAGCAGUCUUCUGUCAUGCUCAACAUUGAGGAGGUCCUUUGUCCCCAGGGCAUACCAGCAACUCAAUGUCACAGAAAAGGUUAGGGGAGAAAUUGACUUUUCAGCAUGAGUCUCACCCUGCGCCAACCAUUACAUCGCUUUGUCUAUUGUCUAGUAUCCACUAUCCAUUUGACUGUCUUACAGGCUACAUUAGCCCCUCUACACAUUCUGAACUGUGGUUUCAACAUUUACCCCUGUUGGCUUGUAUAAUCUUUUUUUUCUUUUUUUAUAUAUAUUUAAGUUUCUGUUUUUUUCUAUCUAUUUUAACUUCUUUGUAUUGUUUUUUUGUUAAGCAAUACUAUUAUGCUCAGACUCUUUUUUUUCCAUAGUCAUAUUAAACAUGCACAGCUUUGCACUGAUUAAAUCCCUGCACUGUUUACUUUUGCACUACCACCACUGCAAAUCACUCUAUAGUUGCCCAUCAUGUAUCACAGGGUCAGUCCCUACCAGGCCUUUGUAAUCACUUGACAUGCUCUUCACUUUUUUUACAUUUGUGAUUUUUUUGUUAUGUGUCUGAGUUGUGUGUUGUUUUUGUGGUUGUAUAAGCUAAUAAAUGCCUAAAAUGUGGUGUGUCGUCUUAAGUAGCCUACUGUGUCUGUACUAGGGGGAAGAAGACAUUUCAUCAUGACAGUUUCCUCCAUCUCCUAGAGACAUCUUACAUGGAUACACAGA